CCCGCCCUGGGUUUUCUGUGGAGGUUCCUUCAAGAGAUCAGGCAUGGGGAGCUGUGUGAUGGGCUGCAGGGCCUAACGGGUGCAGCCAAGUGUCCUCAAACUGGUCAUUGCUGUAUUGGACAAGGUGCGGGUCUAACUGAUCCAGCUCCUGCGGGUUGGAGGCAGCGUUCCUACAGGUGUCGGCUGUGGUUGCAUGCAGGAGCUUCAGCUGCCUCAGUGUCUCCAGGAUUCGCUUAGCACAGCUGAAACACACAAGGGACAGUUGGAGCAAGACGAGAGAGGGUGUUGUAGAAUGACCCAGAGAGAACACUACGACUCAGGCGCACGUCGCGGUCCAGGCUGGCGGUGAUGACGAGCUGGAAGCGCUCCACAUACUCGACACUGACGACGCCCUUCA
Long non-coding RNA from Esox lucius (northern pike), 397 nucleotides. RefSeq lists it as uncharacterized. The record is from RefSeq and is a predicted model, not a curated record. The transcript has 3 exons. Lineage: Eukaryota; Metazoa; Chordata; Actinopteri; Esociformes; Esocidae.